This 460-nucleotide ribosomal RNA is filed under the name uncultured bacterium. RNAcentral describes it as "partial 16S ribosomal RNA". It matches the Rfam family "Bacterial small subunit ribosomal RNA", at positions 338 to 795 of the family's 1533-position model. The record is from RNAcentral.
CCUACGUGCGGCAGCAGUGAGGAAUAUUGGUCAAUGGACGAGAGUCUGAACCAGCCAAGUAGCGUGAAGGAUGACUGCCCUAUGGGUUGUAAACUUCUUUUAUAAAGGAAUAAAACGAGGCACGUGUGCCUUUUUGCAUGUACUUUAUGAAUAAGGAUCGGCUAACUCCGUGCCAGUAGCCGCGGUAAUGCGGAGGAUCCGAGCGUUAUCCGGAUUUAUUGGGUUUAAAGGGAGCGUAGAUGGGUUGUUAAGUCAGUUGUGAAAGUUUGCGGCUCAACCGUAAAAUUGCAAUUGAUACUGGCAGUCUUGAGUACAGUUGAGGUAGGCGGAAUUCGUGGUGUAGCGGUGAAAUGCUUAGAUAUCACGAAGAACUCCGAUUGCGAAGGCAGCUUACUAAACUGCCACUGACAUUGAUGCUCGAAAGUGUGGGUAUCAAACAGGAUUAGAUACCCCAGUAGUC